AUGUUACAUCAUACUCAAACUGCAAGGAAUUCCCUUGUCCACAAAGUUCGUAGGUUUAUACGAAUAUCAGGUGUUGCUCCAAAGGAACAGCUAGCCGGGAACACCCUUAUGGAUCAUGAGUUGAUGCCCAUAAUCCUAUGCCGCUACUCCCAGAUUGACAUGGAAUCAGACCUAGAACCCCCUACAUCUCAUCGAGCAAGGACAACUCUUCGUUCUGAAUUACAUCAGGGAAGUCGAUCGGCUUUACCUAGAAAAUCAUCUCACACCGGUAAGCGCGUGGGUAAGGGGAGAUGCACAUUUCUCAUGUCGCAGAAAGAUUUUGCUCUAUUAAAAAAAUGUGCAGAACCGGCUACACUAUCUCUGAAGCUCCAUUUGCCCAUGAGGUGA
This 387-nucleotide ribosomal RNA is filed under the name Triticum aestivum (bread wheat). Its description in RNAcentral is "partial small subunit ribosomal RNA". The record is from RNAcentral. Lineage: Eukaryota; Viridiplantae; Streptophyta; Magnoliopsida; Poales; Poaceae.